GAUGAACGCUGGCGGCGUGCUUAACACAUGCAAGUCGAACGGAAAGGCUCCUGCUUGCAGGGGUACUCGAGUGGCGAACGGGUGAGUAACACGUGGGUGAUCUGCCCUGCACUUCGGGAUAAGCCUGGGAAACUGGGUCUAAUACCGGAUAGGACCACAUUUUGGAUGGUGUGGUGGAAAGUUUUUCGGUGUGGGAUGAGCUCGCGGCCUAUCAGCUUGUUGGUGGGGUAAUGGCCUACCAAGGCGUCGACGGGUAGCCGGCCUGAGAGGGUGUACGGUCACAUUGGGACUGAGAUACGGCCCAGACUCCUACGGGAGGCAGCAGUGGGGAAUAUUGCACAAUGGGCGCAAGCCUGAUGCAGCGACGCCGCGUGGGGGAUGACGGCCUUCGGGUUGUAAACUCCUUUCGCUAGGGACGAAGCGUUUUUGUGACGGUACCUGGAGAAGAAGCACCGGCUAACUACGUG
Molecule: ribosomal RNA, 467 nt
Filed under: uncultured bacterium
Lineage: Bacteria
Description: partial 16S ribosomal RNA
Rfam family: Bacterial small subunit ribosomal RNA
Source: RNAcentral